This is a long non-coding RNA of Mustela lutreola (European mink), 1747 nucleotides long. RefSeq lists it as uncharacterized. The transcript is spliced from 4 exons. NCBI's taxonomy places the organism in Eukaryota, Metazoa, Chordata, Mammalia, Carnivora, Mustelidae. The record is from RefSeq and is a predicted model, not a curated record.
GGCAGAACUGGUUUGGACAGGUGGGGCCUGAGAGUGUGGGCUGAGGGGCUGGUCCUCCACAGGGGAAGGGAAGCCACUUCUGAGAUGGGGAAGGAGCGCUGCAGAUGGGUGCAGGAGAAUGUUGGGGAGCCUGAGAAGGAGACUGAGGGGCCUGCUGUGGACGAGUGGAUGGCCGUGCCCACAGAUGCUGGCAGAAUCUCGAAGGUUGAUUGCAGAAAUGGCUCAAUUCUCAACCUCUCACAAUGUGGUCCUGCUGGUCCUCCAUCAAGAGACGACUAUCUCCUCACCCUAGGAGGAUGUCAAGGUAGAGAGAAACCAGAUGACUGGCUCAGGGAUGCAUGCAUACAAGGAUGGACCAUGAGGAAAAUGGGAUCCAGGAUGUGUCAAUUCCAUCUUGCUGCUUUUUGGUCAUUGUCCCAGCUCUACAAGAUGGCUGAAAUCUUAACUUCUCAGCAGUUUCUUCCAGGCUUCUUAGCCUCUGGUUGCUAUUUACUAAUUGGUGAAUACCUCAGGAGAAGACAGAAUAUAGGUCUCACGAUUUCUCUUCUCCUUGAGUUCUUGAUCCUUGAAGUUAAGUAGUUCCCCAAUUCCUUCAAACAGAAUAUUUUAAAGGCAUUUAUCUGGCUUUUUCUUGUCUUCAGGGAGAAGUUUUGUAUGAUCUAAGCUAGCUGUCACCUUCAUUAUGACAUCUUUCCUGACACCCUGUAGAAACUGCAACAUAUCACCUCUCUUCCUCUAUUCUGAUACUUUCAUUUAUCUUUUCUGCAUUUAUUUCCUGUACAACAUUCAUCAGUAUUUAUACACCAUAUUUGUUUAUUAUUUAUGUGUAAUCUUCACAAAAUAAAGGCUCAAGAGAGAAAGAAUCUAUAUAUGUUUUUUUCUUCCAUUGUAUUCUUUCUAGGCCCUAGAACAAACAAUGCUUGCAAUGGAGAUUAAUUAAUCAACCAAAUUAAAAAUUUGGGAGAAGAUAUUCUCAAAUGAAAGUACAGACAAAGGGCUGAUAUUCAAGAUCUAUAAAGAACUCCUCAAAUUCAACACACACAAAACAGAUAACACGUCCAAAAAUGGGUGGAAGAUAUGAACAGACACUUCUCCAAAGAAGACAUACAAAUGGCUAACAGACUCAUGAGAAAACUCAUCACUAGCCACCAGGGAGAUUCAAAUCAAAACCACAUUGAGAUAUCACCUUACACCAGUUAGAAUGGCCAAAAUUAACAAGGCAGGAAACAACAUGUGCUGGAGAGGAUGUGGAGAAAGAGGAACCCUCUUACACUGUUGGUGGGAAUGCAAGCUGGUGCAGCCACUUUGGAAAACAGUGUGGAGAUUUCUUAAGAAAUUAAAUAUAGAGCUUCACUAUGACGCUGCAAUUGCACUAUUGGGUAUUUACCCUAAAGAUACAGAUGUAGUGAAAAGAAGGGCCAAUGUUCAUAGCAGCAACAGCCAGUCACCGAACUCUGGAAAGAACCAAGAUGCCCUUCAACAGAAGAUAUGGUCCAGAUAUACUCCGGAUUAUUAUACCUCCAUCAGAAAGGAUGAAUACCCAACUUUUGUAUCAGUAUAGAUGGGACUGAAGGAGAUUAUGUGAGUGAAAUAAGUCAAGUGAGAAAGUCAAUUAUCAUAUGGUUUCCGUUUCUUAUGGAGCAUAAGGAAUAAAACUGAAGAAAUUGGGAGAAGGAUGGGAGAAGCGAGUUGGGGGAAAUUGGAGGGGAAGAUGAACCAUGAUAGACUGUGGACUCUGAGAAACUAA